UGACGUCAAUCAUCAUGCCCCUUAUGACCUGGGCUACACACGUGCUACAAUGGUUGGUACAACGAGUUGCGAGUCGGUGACGGCGAGCUAAUCUCUUAAAGCCAAUCUCAGUUCGGAUUGUAGGCUGCAACUCGCCUACAUGAAGUCGGAAUCGCUAGUAAUCGCGGAUCAGCACGCCGCGGUCGAAUACGUUCCCGGGCCUU
Molecule: ribosomal RNA, 203 nt
Filed under: uncultured Streptococcus sp.
Lineage: Bacteria; Bacillati; Bacillota; Bacilli; Lactobacillales; Streptococcaceae
Description: partial 16S ribosomal RNA
Rfam family: Bacterial small subunit ribosomal RNA
Source: RNAcentral